AGUGAACGCUGGCGGUAGGCCUAACACAUGCAAGUCGAACGGCAGCACAGUAAGAGCUUGCUCUUACGGGUGGCGAGUGGCGGACGGGUGAGGAAUACAUCGGAAUCUACUUUUUCGUGGGGGAUAACGUAGGGAAACUUACGCUAAUACCGCAUACGACCUACGGGUGAAAGCAGGGGAUCUUCGGACCUUGCGCGAUUGAAUGAGCCGAUGACGGAUUAGCUAGUUGGCGGGGUAAAGGCCCACCAAGGCGACGAUCCGUAGCUGGUCUGAGAGGAUGAUCAGCCACACUGGAACUGAGACACGGUCCAGACUCCUACGGGAGGCAGCAGUGGGGAAUAUUGGACAAUGGGCGCAAGCCUGAUCCAGCCAUACCGCGUGGGUGAAGAAGGCCUUCGGGUUGUAAAGCCCUUUUGUUGGGAAAGAAAGGCAGCAGGUUAAUACCCCGCUGUUCUGACGGUACCCAAAGAAUAAGCACCGGCUAACUUCGUG
RNAcentral lists this ribosomal RNA (492 nucleotides) under uncultured bacterium. RNAcentral describes it as "partial 16S ribosomal RNA". It matches the Rfam family "Bacterial small subunit ribosomal RNA", at positions 29 to 507 of the family's 1533-position model. The record is from RNAcentral.